AUGGCUAUUAUUUUUUUUAAACCUUCCCCUCCAGCCUCUGUUCUUAAAAGAAGGACUUUGGGGAGAAGCUGGGAUCUGCACCAGAAGCAAUUUUGCAAUGGACUCAGAGCCCUUUAUUAUCUUUCUGCCUCGUUUUCCCCAUCCCCUUUCCCCAUCUCCCCUUUUUCUGCUGGUGCCUGCCUGCUUUCAGGGAGCACCGUGGCUCCGUGGGAGCUGGAUGCUGGGCUCAGAUGUGAUGCUGCAGCUGCCCAGGGGUGGAGGCAGCUCUUCCACACAGGGGAUUCGGCUCAGGGAAAGGGAUUUUUUCCUGUUUUGUCUGGAAAUGCUGUCCCAGUAAUCAGCAGGUACAGCUCAUGAAAGACAUUUGGACAAUGAUGGGAGAUCAUUGCUGUGACAGUAAGACAAGGCAAGAGAAAAUCAAGACCCUGUUGUUUAUGGAUACGUAGCCACGUUUCUGCAGUGCCUGGAGGAUUUGGGAACAUCAGGGAGUGAAGAUAUGAUCGUAAGCAACCACGAGCUAAAGGAAUUGACCGAGCAGCCUGCUUAGCAAACCUCUGUUCAUCACCUGGGCUCCAGCACCCAACUGCGCGUGUGGUCCUUCCCCGACCCACGUACAGAGUUUCAGGUCUUAGCUCAUCGAAUGCCAAUCACCUGCAGGCUCUCCCAUGAGUAAAUCAGUUUUGAAAACCAAAUUCAGGCUCUGAAGUCAAUUAGGCAUUGCGAAGUCAGGCUCUGUAACACCUAAUCUCCUGCUGGUUGGGCCAAAGAGAGAGUUAGGGAUCUCCAAAGCAGUUGAGACCAGAUAUUUGAUUUGAUUCCAUACCAGCUGUGAAACAUUAAAAGGUUUGGAGGAUUCAGUGGAAAAUGAAGGCAAAAUGCGAUUUUUUUUUUUUUGAGUUACCCCUUCAACUUUGGUAGCAAUUUCUUUGGAGGCUCGGUGGGUAUAUUUGGUAGUGAUUGCUGACAUGUUAAUUUUCAAAGAAAAGCAUCACUUUUAUGAGUAGGAUCCACAUCAAAUCCACUAAGCAAAUGAUGAAGACCGUUUUAAAAUCACUUGAAAGCUUUCAGCCAUGCUCACAGGUAUUCUAUCGAAUAUUCUGAUCUAGUAAACCACUGCAUGGACGCUGCUGCCUUCCCCACCGAGUCCUUGUCCCCAAGCCUGCUAAUUCCAGCAGGAUUUCUCUGUAGGUAGUAAUCCAAGAAUAGGGUCUCUGAAGCUCAGAGCCACAUACUAUUGGUGCCUACACCUCUUCUAGUAGCUGAGAUGGUUCAGCAACUGUUUUCUGGCUUGGAAGAGCAUUUGCACAGCACAGCCCACAUCCAAGCACCCGAAUACUCACCAAAACACAGUGGUUUCAACCACGCCAGCCUGGAAAGUGUCAGAAAGCAAGGACAAAACCAUGCUGCCCUCCAUCCCAGGAGCAGGGACCCUGCUUGUACAAGUUUUUUCCCAUUCUGAGACUGCUUGCAUCUCGCUAUGCCAGCCUGUCUCCAGCUGCUUGCUGUAUUACUUUACGUUUAGAGACUGUUUGCACAGCACAGCCAAGGGUUGGUUUGUUAUUGUGGGUCUUUUGUUUGUUUGGUUUGGUUUGUUAAGCUACCUUUCAUUUAGGCACGUGCCAAAAAUAUAAACAAAAAAACAGUGUCACAACAUUUCCUAAUGCUAAGCUGUAAAAUUGCCAUUCAGAGACAAAUUUAGAGAAAUUUGAUGUUAUUUCUAAUGCAUUAAUCUCGAACCAGUUUUGGCAAUCAGUCCCUAAAGACAGGCAAAGAGGGAGCUAGCAGACAAUCUCUGAACCCUCAAAAUCAGGCCAUUUCUCUAAGGAUUUAGAUUUGGGUACCAAAGCAUACAAUCACUCAUUGAACAGUGAGUAAGCAAGAAUUUUAUUCUCAUUUCUGAGCCAGUAAACCCCACUACUACUAUCUGUAAGUCCCUUUGGUGGUGUCCCAGUGCUGUGACUUCUCAGAAUGGCUGGAAUCCUCAGAAAUCUGAAAACACAUGAAAAAAAAAAACGUAUUUUGAUGGCACCCAAUGUCAAAGGCAGUAGCCACGAACAUACAGAGAGAAAACCUUUCAGCAAGGGCUGCAAAACAAGCAGCUUAAAUCCGAGGUAUCCACGGUCACCAGUCUCAUUAGGAAGUCUGGAUGCGUUUGCCCGUGGCAGAUGCUAUUCUUCCUGGCUUGCCUAGAGCAUCCCCGCUGCUGUUGAGCACAUUUCGAUUAAUGCAAAGAAGGUGAAUGUGUUUAACUGCAGGUGGCUCUCUGUGGUAGGCAGACAGCUCCGUGGAGCCACGCUGAAGGCUGCCAAGGAGGAAUUCGGAGUUGUCUCUGUUUGCACAGAAGGCCCUCAGUGACUUGGAAAGCGUAGCAGAAGGAAAUGUUUUCCCCGUGACAUACUAGGGGGCUGCCUACGAUCAGCAUCCUUCCAGCAGCUGGGCUUGAUACACGUUGUCAGCAGCCUGGGAGUCCUGUUGGGCUCCCAACAUCGAGAAUGAAUUUGGAACAAGCAGGCAGGGACAAAGAGCCCUGUACCUCUGGUCAUGCUACAGCGAGUCCUCGUGUAACUGGGUUGGAAGACUGAGUAUGUUAGAAUAUAUUUAACUUGAGCUGCUUGUUCCAAAUAAUGGCUACUUUCAGACAAAAAUAGUGAGAGAAGACAGGUCCUGCAGAGCCACAAGGGAGAGCACAGGGAUCCUAAAUUUCCCUUCACUAUAGGAAACAGCUGGAUGUGGGCUCACCCUUUAUAAGACAGCAGAGAAUCCACAAAGCCAUGCUCCACUCAGAAACACAAGUCAAGGCGAAAUGAGGCUGCUUUGGCUCUGCUAAUCCCAGAACUUCAGUUCUUUUCUGCAGAGUGAGGUGAUGCCGUGGCUUGUGCUUGCGUUUCUCUGAGAGACAGAAAAAAACUCCCAUCACGCAUUUUCUCUUCACUCUCUCCCCUGGUAAAUGACAUUUUUUUAAUCUCUACUUCACCGCUGGAUUUCCAGGUCGACGUUUCCACCGUGUUGGCACACUGGGAAUGAAUUUGCCUUUCAAUAUUGCUGCAUUCAGGCAACAUGAAGGGGUGGCUUGGAGGUGCCACAGGACACAUGAGGCUCUUUCCGGUGUUCCCAUCGUUCACAAAACCCACCUAAGGGGGGACCUGAGCCUCCCUUUUGAACCAAAGCUUUAAAAGCAGUUUGUUUUGGCCUCCUCAAGAGCCGCAGGCCAAGCGAGCUACAGGCGUUUGUUCUGAAUCCAUAAAUCUAACAAGCCAUAAAGUGGUUUCCUAAUCCUUUUAUUUUACAGGGCACACAUUUUCCCCGCGAGCUGUGCCCCUUCUUAGCUGCGAUUUGGGGGAAAUCUGCAGAAGGAAACCGUUCCAGCUGUUGGAGCUGGCUGUCUCCAGCUGCUGCAUUUUCCUCGUUUUCUGGGCAGCCUGCUUGCACAAAUGAGGUGCUCCAACCUGUCACAACUACCCUGCAGGAGGAAAAAAAUAGCAUCGGCAGCACCACAAUUGAGUCAAUAUUGGAGCCAAAUAAAACCCGCUGUGGAAAUUCA
Molecule: long non-coding RNA, 3541 nt
Filed under: Anser cygnoides (Swan goose)
Lineage: Eukaryota; Metazoa; Chordata; Aves; Anseriformes; Anatidae
Description: lncRNA (ENSACDG00005005856.1)
Source: RNAcentral